UGGCCUAUAGUCUAAUGGUAAGGAUACGAGAUUGUCAUUCUCGAGGUAGCGGUUCGAUUCCCCUUGGGCCAG
This is a non-coding RNA of Tritrichomonas musculus, 72 nucleotides long. The record is from the annotation of a GenBank genome assembly. NCBI's taxonomy places the organism in Eukaryota, Parabasalia, Tritrichomonadida, Tritrichomonadidae.